This 873-nucleotide ribosomal RNA is filed under the name Staphylococcus aureus. RNAcentral's name for it is "partial 23S ribosomal RNA". It matches the Rfam family "Bacterial large subunit ribosomal RNA", at positions 1603 to 2477 of the family's 2925-position model. The record is from RNAcentral. Lineage: Bacteria; Bacillati; Bacillota; Bacilli; Caryophanales; Staphylococcaceae.
CACUGCCGAGAAAAGCCUCUAGAUAGAAAAUAGGUGCCCGUACCGCAAACCGACACAGGUAGUCAAGAUGAGAAUUCUAAGGUGAGCGAGCGAACUCUCGUUAAGGAACUCGGCAAAAUGACCCCGUAACUUCGGGAGAAGGGGUGCUCUUUAGGGUUAACGCCCAGAAGAGCCGCAGUGAAUAGGCCCAAGCGACUGUUUAUCAAAAACACAGGUCUCUGCUAAACCGUAAGGUGAUGUAUAGGGGCUGACGCCUGCCCGGUGCUGGAAGGUUAAGAGGAGUGGUUAGCUUCUGCGAAGCUACGAAUCGAAGCCCCAGUAAACGGCGGCCGUAACUAUAACGGUCCUAAGGUAGCGAAAUUCCUUGUCGGGUAAGUUCCGACCCGCACGAAAGGCGUAACGAUUUGGGCACUGUCUCAACGAGAGACUCGGUGAAAUCAUAGUACCUGUGAAGAUGCAGGUUACCCGCGACAGGACGGAAAGACCCCGUGGAGCUUUACUGUAGCCUGAUAUUGAAAUUCGGCACAGCUUGUACAGGAUAGGUAGGAGCCUUUGAAACGUGAGCGCUAGCUUACGUGGAGGCGCUGGUGGGAUACUACCCUAGCUGUGUUGGCUUUCUAACCCGCACCACUUAUCGUGGUGGGAGACAGUGUCAGGCGGGCAGUUUGACUGGGGCGGUCGCCUCCUAAAAGGUAACGGAGGCGCUCAAAGGUUCCCUCAGAAUGGUUGGAAAUCAUUCAUAGAGUGUAAAGGCAUAAGGGAGCUUGACUGCGAGACCUACAAGUCGAGCAGGGUCGAAAGACGGACUUAGUGAUCCGGUGGUUCCGCAUGGAAGGGCCAUCGCUCAACGGAUAAAAGCUACCCCGGGGAUAA